AGCAGCCGCGGUAAUUCCAGCUCCAAUAGCGUAUAUUAAAGUUGUUGCAGUUAAAAAGCUCGUAGUUGAAUUUCGGGGUCAGUAGGUCGGUCGUGCCACUGGUAUGAACUGGUUUUACUGAUUCCUCCCUCUUGAAGAACUGUAAUGCCAUUAAUUUGGUGUUGCAGGGAAUCAGGACUGUUACUUUGAAAAAAUUAGAGUGUUUAAAGCAGGCUUUAGCUUGAAUACAUUAGCAUGGAAUAAUGAAAUAGGACGUUUGAUCCUAUUUUGUUGGUUUCUAGGAUUGACGUAAUGAUUAAUAGGGAUAGUUGGGGGCAUUAGUAUUCAAUUGUCAGAGGUGAAAUUCUUGGAUUUAUUGAAGACUAACUACUGCGAAAGCAUUUGUCCAAGGAUGUUUUCAUUAAUCAAGAACGAAAGUUAGGGGAUCGAAGACGAUCAGAUACCGUCGUAGUCUUAACCAUAAACUAUGCCGACUAGGGAUCGGAUGAUGUUAAUUUUUAAUGACUCAUUCGGCGUCCCG
RNAcentral lists this ribosomal RNA (520 nucleotides) under uncultured Glomus. RNAcentral's name for it is "SSU rRNA". It matches the Rfam family "Eukaryotic small subunit ribosomal RNA", at positions 569 to 1090 of the family's 1831-position model. The record is from RNAcentral. Lineage: Eukaryota; Fungi; Glomeromycota; Glomeromycetes; Glomerales; Glomeraceae.